RNAcentral lists this ribosomal RNA (463 nucleotides) under uncultured bacterium. RNAcentral describes it as "bacterial SSU rRNA". It matches the Rfam family "Bacterial small subunit ribosomal RNA", at positions 338 to 795 of the family's 1533-position model. The record is from RNAcentral.
CCUACGGGCGGCACCAGUGGGGAAUAUUGCACAAUGGGCGCAAGCCUGAUGCAGCCAUGCCGCGUGUGAAGAAGGCCUUCGGGUUGUAAAGCACUUUCAGCGGGGAGGAAGGCGAUAAGGUUAAUAACCUUGUCGAUUGACGUUACCCGCAGAAGAAGCACCGGCUAACUCCGUGCCAGCAGCCGCGGUAGUACGGAGGGUGCAAGCGUUAAUCGGAAUUACUGGGCGUAAAGCGCACGCAGGCGGUCUGUCAAGUCGGAUGUGAAAUCCCCGGGCUCAACCUGGGAACUGCAUUCGAAACUGGCAGGCUAGAGUCUUGUAGAGGGGGGUAGAAUUCCAGGUGUAGCGGUGAAAUGCGUAGAGAUCUGGAGGAAUACCGGUGGCGAAGGCGGCCCCCUGGACAAAGACUGACGCUCAGAUGCGAAAGCGUGGGGAGCAAACAGGAUUAGAUACCCGGGUAGUC